UACGUAGGUGGCAAGCGUUGUCCGGAUUUAUUGGGGUUAAAGGGCGCGUAGGCGGCCGCUUGCGUCGGAUGUGAAAGCCCGGGGCUCAACCCCGGAACGGCAUCCGAUACGGGGCGGCUCGAGACCGAGAGAGGUGAGUGGAAUACCCAGUGUAGAGGUGAAAUUCGUAGAUAUUGGGUGGAACACCGGUGGCGAAAGCGGCUCACUGGCUCGGUUCUGGCGCUGAGGCGCGAAAGCGUGGGGAGCAAACAGG
Molecule: ribosomal RNA, 253 nt
Filed under: uncultured bacterium
Lineage: Bacteria
Description: partial 16S ribosomal RNA
Rfam family: Bacterial small subunit ribosomal RNA
Source: RNAcentral